Molecule: non-coding RNA, 73 nt
Organism: Aedes albopictus (Asian tiger mosquito)
Lineage: Eukaryota; Metazoa; Arthropoda; Insecta; Diptera; Culicidae
Source: Rfam
UGUUAUGUGGCUUAGUUGGUUAAAGUGCCGGACUAACAAUACGGAGUCGUGUACUAGAAUCCCAUCAAACCAA